This 286-nucleotide unclassified non-coding RNA is filed under the name Hevea brasiliensis (rubber tree). The record is from RNAcentral. Lineage: Eukaryota; Viridiplantae; Streptophyta; Magnoliopsida; Malpighiales; Euphorbiaceae.
UUCAUUUUUUUGCUUCAGAUUUCUAUUUUUUUUUUAAUUACUCUAACUCUCUGUUUGGUUGGUGAGAAAACAGAUAAAAAUAAAAGAGUAUAAGAAAAAUGAGGAAAAUUAAAAAACUGUAAAAUACUGCCGCAGAUUAGCGUUAUUUGUCCUUGACUAACUAAAGUACUUGUUUAUCUUAGCUAAUAUGAAUCUUGCAUUUUCUGGUAUUUAUUCAAUUUUUUAUUGCGUAUUUAUGUUUAGAACUGGCUAAAUGUUGGGUAAUGUGGAUUCUACGUGGUUUUCG